UACGUAGGGUGCAAGCGUUGUCCGGAAUUAUUGGGCGUAAAGAGCUCGUAGGCGGUCUGUCGCGUCGGCUGUGAAAACUCGGGGCUCAACUCCGAGCUUGCAGUCGAUACGGGCAGGCUAGAGUUCGGCAGGGGAGACUGGAAUUCCUGGUGUAGCGGUGAAAUGCGCAGAUAUCAGGAGGAACACCGGUGGCGAAGGCGGUUCUCUGGGCCUGUACUGACGCUGAGGAGCGAAAGCGUGGGGAGCGAACAGG
Molecule: ribosomal RNA, 253 nt
Filed under: uncultured bacterium
Lineage: Bacteria
Description: partial 16S ribosomal RNA
Rfam family: Bacterial small subunit ribosomal RNA
Source: RNAcentral